ACGCUGGUCAGGACAGUGUUAUAGGCGGUGGGUCCAUUAAAUCUGACCGAGGAGGCUGGGCUCUACCCAAAUAUGAAUCGGAUGCUAGCAUACUGGACUGGUCAACCACAGAAAAAUCUGUGGAUAGAGGGAAGCCUAAAGCUUACUGAUAAAAGGCCUACAUAAUACUACCCAAGAGAAGGAGGAACCUUACUGAGGAUGUAGCUAUGUUUACUUUCUAUGGGAGGAACCUUACUGAUGAGGACCACUACUGGCAAAUGUUCCCAUUAAAACCCCAUUAGUUUUAUACCCAUUAAUAAUGUACCGAUUAAUGGGUAACAUUAAUUGUCAAAUUCCAUUAUUUUUAAUUCAUAAUUAUUAAUGGCCAUCAUAAAAUAAUGGUAUAAUAAUGGUAUACAAUAUCUGGUGUUAAAGGCCAUUAUGAUAAAAACCCUGUAAUGGCUAUUAAAAAUCACUCGUGAUAUUUAAUUGGCAUUAUUUUUUUCUCAAUAAUGGGCAUUAAAAUCUCUCUCUCUUUCUUUAAUGUCAAUUACUGUAAUGGUCGUUAAUAUACACUGUCCAUUAAGUCACCCAUUAAUUGGUACAUUAUUAAGAGCCAUGAUAUUUUUCACAAUUAAUUUUUGCAUAUAGUAAUGGCCAUUAAAAUGAACCACAUAGUAGUUACGUUUAUUUUCUAUGGGAGGAACCUUACAUGUUACAACAUUGUUAAUAUAAAACUUUUACAUACCAUGGGUCAAUACAAAUGUGGUCAUUGUGUUGUCAUUUAAAAGUACACAGUUGCUGUUUCAUGUUUUACUUCCCAAAUCUUUAUUUUUAUACGCCGGUCAAAUUUGACGGGAGUAUUAUGGUAUGGGG
Molecule: long non-coding RNA, 855 nt
Organism: Mizuhopecten yessoensis (Yesso scallop)
Lineage: Eukaryota; Metazoa; Mollusca; Bivalvia; Pectinida; Pectinidae
Exons: 3
Source: RefSeq, a predicted model, not a curated record